This 21-nucleotide small nuclear RNA is filed under the name Arabidopsis thaliana (thale cress). RNAcentral describes it as "snRNA_03132". The record is from RNAcentral. Lineage: Eukaryota; Viridiplantae; Streptophyta; Magnoliopsida; Brassicales; Brassicaceae.
UACUUGGGAAUCAAUAGGGUU